AUUGAACGCUGGCGGCAGGCCUAACACAUGCAAGUCGAGCGGAUGAAGGGAGCUUGCUCCUGGAUUCAGCGGCGGACGGGUGAGUAAUGCCUAGGAAUCUGCCUGGUAGUGGGGGAUAACGUCCGGAAACGGGCGCUAAUACCGCAUACGUCCUGAGGGAGAAAGCGGGGGAUCUUAGGACCUCACGCUAUCAGAUGAGCCUAGGUCGGAUUAGCUAGUUGGUGGGGUAAAGGCCUACCAAGGCGACGAUCCGUAACUGGUCUGAGAGGAUGAUCAGUCACACUGGAACUGAGACACGGUCCAGACUCCUACGGGAGGCAGCAGUGGGGAAUUUUGGACAAUGGGCGAAAGCCUGAUCCAGCCAUGCCGCGUGUGUGAAGAAGGUCUUCGGAUUGUAAAGCACUUUAGGUUGGGAAGAAAGGCAGUAAGUUAAUACCUUGCUGUUUUGACGUUACCAACAGAAUAAGCACCGGCUAACUACGUG
This 484-nucleotide ribosomal RNA is filed under the name uncultured bacterium. Its description in RNAcentral is "partial 16S ribosomal RNA". It matches the Rfam family "Bacterial small subunit ribosomal RNA", at positions 30 to 507 of the family's 1533-position model. The record is from RNAcentral.